This 201-nucleotide unclassified non-coding RNA is filed under the name uncultured Inocybe. Its description in RNAcentral is "sequence contains ITS2". The record is from RNAcentral. Lineage: Eukaryota; Fungi; Basidiomycota; Agaricomycetes; Agaricales; Cortinariaceae.
AACUCCUCAACCACAUUCAUUUAUUGAUUGUGGCUUGGAUGAUGGGGGUUUGUUUGCAGGCUUCUUCUGUGAAAACAGAAAGGGUCGGCUCCCCUGAAAUGUAUCAGUGGUAUCUGAGGCUAUUGCUAUAGGUGUGAUAAUUAUCUAUGCCCUUGGUAUGCCGCAUGGAACUGCUUCCAACAGAGAUAAUCUUUUUGAUGA